CCAUUUGGCGACUCUUAUGACAGGGGAAAAGCUUCCGAUAUAUAUUAAAAAUGUAGGGACAGAAGUCUUUGAAGGAAUCAUAAAGAGAAACAGGAGUGCAAGCAUCUUAUUAAGGCAUCUCUUUGUCACAUUGGAGCCUUGGAAAAGCUUCCGCCACCGCUAGUGCUUGUCCUAUCCAUUCAUUCAUUCCCUAUCAACAUAUAUAGAAACCUCUUGCACAAUUUGAAGGCACAAAUUAGUGCUCCAUCAAACUAAAGGUUGCAGAGACAUCAAAGCAACAAAGACUAGAACUGAAAUGGGUCACAGGAAGAGCCAUCAUCACAAAGGAAGAGGUGAAGCAGCUCAUGAGAAGGAAUACCUGUUCCUAGCACGCUUCCCUUGCUAUGUGUUCGGCUCUGUCAUUAGAGGGAUUGGGAGGGGCCUCUUUGUGGCCUUCUACCCUGUGAUACAAUGUUGCGGCCUUGAUGAGUGCAGGCAUCACCACACCAGCCACCUCAGCCACUUCAGAUGAUAUAUAUGCAUCCAUGGAGUAACUCUAUCACUUGAUCACCAGUUCUUUCCCCUUUAUUUUUCACUGCAAGUAGGGUUAGCAAUCAAUCACGCCGAGUUCUAAAGAAGAAUUGUUCAUACCGUAUACGAGUCUGCAGUGUUCUUCAUCUUUUUUCAGUAGUUUUAAGUAGAAAGGAAGACUUGUCUGCAUUACCUCAGCAGAUGAUAGAAGAGUAAAGUUGAAGAAAAUUCCAUGCUAAACAGCUAUUGGUCUCUUGAAAGUAAUUCAUAAAGUGGUUGGUGCCAGUGCUUUCUGGUUGUUUUUCUCUAGUGGCUCAGAAAAAAAUAAUUUCUUCUAAUUGA
Phragmites australis (common reed) is the source of this 852-nucleotide long non-coding RNA. RefSeq lists it as uncharacterized. The record is from RefSeq and is a predicted model, not a curated record. NCBI's taxonomy places the organism in Eukaryota, Viridiplantae, Streptophyta, Magnoliopsida, Poales, Poaceae. The transcript has 2 exons.